CCUACGGGGUGCUGCAGUGGGGGAUAUUGCACAAUGGGGGGAACCCUGAUGCAGCGACGCCGCGUGUGGGAAGACGGUCCUCUGGAUUGUAAACCACUGUCCCCAGGGACGAAAAUGACGGUACCUGGGGAGGAAGCUCCGGCUAACUACGUGCCAGCAGCCGCGGUAAUACGUAGGGAGCGAGCGUUUUCCGGAAUUACUGGGUGUAAAGGGAGCGUAGGCGGGGAUGCAAGUUGGGUGUCAAAACUACCGGCUCAACUGGUAGUCGCACUCAAAACUGCAGCUCUUGAGUGAAGUAGAGGCAGGCGGAAUGCCUAGUGUAGCGGUGAAAUGCGUAGAUAUUAGGAGGAACACCAGUGGCGAAGGCGGCCUGCUGGGCUUUUACUGACGCUGAGGCUCGAAAGUGUGGGGAGCAAACAGGAUUAGAUACCCGGGUAGUC
RNAcentral lists this ribosomal RNA (440 nucleotides) under uncultured bacterium. Its description in RNAcentral is "partial 16S ribosomal RNA". It matches the Rfam family "Bacterial small subunit ribosomal RNA", at positions 338 to 795 of the family's 1533-position model. The record is from RNAcentral.